RNAcentral lists this unclassified non-coding RNA (281 nucleotides) under plant metagenome. RNAcentral's name for it is "partial contains small subunit ribosomal RNA, internal transcribed spacer 1, and 5.8S ribosomal RNA". The record is from RNAcentral.
UUUCCGUAGGUGAACCUGCGGAAGGAUCAUUAUUGUAUAACCGAGGUGCGAGGGCUGUCGCUGACCCGAAAGGUCGUGCACGCCCGAGUGCCCUCACACACAUCCAUCUCACCCCUAUGUGCACCACCGCGUGGGUCCCCCUUUGGCUUGUUCGGAGGGGGGCUUACGUUUUCACACAAACUUUGUAUGCAGUGUAGAAUGUAUUUUUUGUUUUUGCGAUCACGCAAUCAAUACAACUUUCAACAACGGAUCUCUCGGCUCUCGCAUCGAUGAAGAGCAGC